RNAcentral lists this ribosomal RNA (253 nucleotides) under uncultured bacterium. RNAcentral's name for it is "partial 16S ribosomal RNA". It matches the Rfam family "Bacterial small subunit ribosomal RNA", at positions 524 to 776 of the family's 1533-position model. The record is from RNAcentral.
UACGUAGGGUCCGAGCGUUGUCCGGCGUGACUGGGCGUAAAGCGCGCGCAGGCGGCCCGCGAGGUGUCCUGUGAAAGCCCCGUGCUCAACGCGGGAGGGUCAGGGCAAACCGGCGGGCUUGAGGCCGGUAGAGGUGGGUGGAACUCCUGGUGGAGUGGUGAAAUGCGUAGAGAUCAGGAAGAACACCCGUGGCGAAGGCGGCUCACUGGCCCGGUUCUGACGCUGAGGUGCGAAAGCGUGGGGAGCAAACAGG